AUUGAACGCUGGCGGCAGGCCUAACACAUGCAAGUCGAACGGUAGCACAGAGAGCUUGCUCUCGGGUGACGAGUGGCGGACGGGUGAGUAACGUCUGGGAAACUGCCCGAUGGAGGGGGAUAACUACUGGAAACGGUAGCUAAUACCGCAUAACGUCGCAAGACCAAAGUGGGGGACCUUCGGGCCUCACACCAUCGGAUGUGCCCAGAUGGGAUUAGCUAGUAGGUGGGGUAAUGGCUCACCUAGGCGACGCUCCCUAGCUGGUCUGAGAGGACGACGAGCCACACUGGAACUGAGGAACGGUCCAGACUCCUACGGGAGGCAGCAGUGGGGAAUAUUGCACAAUGGGCGCAAGCCUGAUGCAGCCAUGCCGCGUGUAUGAAGAAGGCCUUCGGGUUGUAAAGUACUUUCAGCGGGGAGGAAGGCGGUGAAGUUAAUAGCUUCACCGAUUGACGUUACCCGCAGAAGAAGCACCGGCUAACUCCGUGCCAGCCGCCGCCGUAA
This 504-nucleotide ribosomal RNA is filed under the name uncultured bacterium. RNAcentral describes it as "partial 16S ribosomal RNA". It matches the Rfam family "Bacterial small subunit ribosomal RNA", at positions 29 to 523 of the family's 1533-position model. The record is from RNAcentral.